AGAGUUUGAUCCUGGCUCAGGGUUAACGCUGGCGGCGUGCCUAACACAUGCAAGUCGAACGGUUCUAAGCGCGAGCUUAGGAUAGUGGCGAACGGGUGAGUAAAAGGUAGGAAUCUACCCCUUGGACGGAGAUAGCUACUGGAAACGGUAGGUAAACUUCGAUAAGCCCGAGAGGGGAAAGUGGUGAGACAGCCGAGGGAUGAGCCUACUCUCCAUCAGGUAGUUGGUGAGAUAAAAGCUUACCAAGCCGAUGACGGAUAACCGGUGUGAGAGCAUGAACGGUCACAAGGGCACUGAGAGACGGGCCCUACUCCUACGGGAGGCAGCAGUGGGGAAUCUUGGACAAUGGGCGAAAGCCUGAUCCAGCGACGCCGCGUGGAGGAAGAAGUCCUUCGGGAUGUAAACUUCUGAACUAGCCGAAUAAAAGGCCUGUGGACACACAGGAGAGGAAAGUAGGCUAGGAAAAGUCCCGGCUAACUACGUGCCAGCAGCCGCGGUA
RNAcentral lists this ribosomal RNA (499 nucleotides) under uncultured bacterium. RNAcentral's name for it is "bacterial SSU rRNA". It matches the Rfam family "Bacterial small subunit ribosomal RNA", at positions 8 to 522 of the family's 1533-position model. The record is from RNAcentral.